UCCGUUAUGGUGUAUCGGCUAGCAUCCGUCGCUUUCAUGAGCCUCAAUGGGUGAAUGUCAGCUACCGACGAGAGCCGGGUUCGACUCCCGGUAACGGAA
Molecule: transfer RNA, 99 nt
Filed under: Westerdykella ornata
Lineage: Eukaryota; Fungi; Ascomycota; Dothideomycetes; Pleosporales; Sporormiaceae
Description: tRNA-Glu
Source: RNAcentral